Molecule: long non-coding RNA, 1131 nt
Organism: Gasterosteus aculeatus aculeatus (three-spined stickleback)
Lineage: Eukaryota; Metazoa; Chordata; Actinopteri; Perciformes; Gasterosteidae
Source: Ensembl
CCGAAAUAGCAAAAGCGACGAGGAGUCGUGUUGGCUGCCUGCUGGGGAGUGAGGAGAUCUGCUUUCACUCCGCUGCCCCACAUAUUUCCUGCUGGCUGGACGCCUUGUGAUUCUGCGAGUAGACACGCCUGCCGUAGUUCGACAUCAUAAGCAGGAGCAGCAGAGGAUGCCAGGCAGCUCUCCUGAGAAACAAUUAGCUGUGAACUUCAGAGGAGAACAAUGAUUAGCAUAGGCUUCAAACUGGCGGAUCCACAGCUGAGGAAACACCAUGUUUUUUGGGGUGAUGUGCUCGUGUGACACCGUCGACCCCCCCCCUCCCGUGAACUCAAGUAGGGCUGAGAUGUCAGACGCGGCGGGUGAUCAGUGCGGUUACGUUGUCCAGCCGCUUCACGCCAGCAUAGAACUGUCAUUUGUGGGUGCGCGUCUACGUCCUCUCUGGAGAGCGGAGGAGGCGCCAAGGGAGUCGCAGUGACUCACGCUGUGGGAGAGAAGGGGAGUGAGGGACAGAGGGAAAGUGCCCACAUCAUCCCCCUCCGUCAUUACAGCCCACACCACCCACAGAAACUAAAGAGCGCAUUCACACAGAGAACACACACACACACACAUGGCAGCAUAUGAAAGAGGUAGCCUCCACAUCAGUGUGUCAGAGAGGCUUAUCCAUAAUGGGCAAGGCAGGCUGCAGCAGUGAAUCAAGCACUUAUUCAGAGAAGCCCUCCUGUAUAAUACAGUGCUCACAAUUAGAGUAGACAUUCACAGAAAAUGGUUAAAAGCUGCAAAUUAUCAUGUUUCGGUCGACACACGACUGGCGCUUUCUCGCGGUCACAGCUUGAUACAUUUUACAAUUUGGAUUUCACAUGUUGAAUAGAGAAGGCUUUUGAUCUGGGGAGUCAGAUAUUUGCCAUUGUGUGAGGCGUCGGGAGGAGACUGCUGUUGUAUUAGUGACAAACCUGUAUGAAAAAGCCUGUGCUGCGGAGUGAACAUGUAGUUUUCCCCAACAUGUAACCUGCCCACAGUGACGCAACUGUCCUCCGCACAGACACACAAGCUUUGCCGUGCAAUUACCAAAUUAGUCGAGAAAUUAAUUUCAACCCAGUGAACUGACACAGAAACGCACUGAACGGCUAAUCUGGG